CUCAAAUGAAAUACCACCACUCGGAACGUUGCUUCACUUAUCGAAUGAAGAGACCAAUGGUUGUUUUGCGCAGUCUUCGGGCUGUGCGCCGUCUAGGCUGGGCAUAAUUGUGGUGUUUCUUUCACCGCCACGGGAGGGGUGUUGGUUUUUUUUCCUUCUCUCCGUUUCUCCUUUUCUCUCUUUCUCCCUUUUUUGGGCGUUUGAGGGCUGGUGACCCGUGGGCGCCCAGCCGUGCGGAACUACUGCGCCAACGGGGUGGGAACUUUUCGUUUCUUCUCCGGAGUCUUGUUUCGAGACAUCUGCCAGAUGGGGAGUUUGGCUGGGGCGGCAUAUCUGUUACACGACAACGCAGGUGUCCUAAGGCGAG
RNAcentral lists this ribosomal RNA (367 nucleotides) under Trypanosoma brucei. RNAcentral describes it as "eukaryotic LSU rRNA". It matches the Rfam family "Eukaryotic large subunit ribosomal RNA", at positions 2484 to 2672 of the family's 3401-position model. Lineage: Eukaryota; Euglenozoa; Kinetoplastea; Trypanosomatida; Trypanosomatidae. The record is from RNAcentral.